UUUCUUUUUCCACAGCCCAGUCUUCUUUCCCUCCCUCCCCUGGUCCUUCUCCUGAUGUGCAACUGGCAACUCUGGCUCAGAGAGUCAAGGAAGUUUUGCCCCAUGUGCCAUUGGGUGUCAUCCAGAGAGACCUGGGUAUGGGAAAGGGUGGCCCCACACCGGGAGAUGGGCACAGGGAGGAAAAGUGGGUUGUGAAGGAAGAAAGUAAGCAGGGAGUGGACUCCCUUCUCUUUUCUCCCCAGCCAAGACUGGCUGUGUAGACUUGACUAUCACAAAUCUGCUUGAGGGGGCCGUAGCUUUCAUGCCUGAAGAUAUCACCAAGGGAACUCAGUCCCUACCCACUGCCUCUGCCCCCAAGGCAUUCGAUGCGUGUUUAAUGAUGAUGACUCCGCAAGCCCUCUGACAUUGUGAUCACCUCAGUUUCCCAGCUCUGGCCCGGUGACCCCUC
This 448-nucleotide small RNA is filed under the name Pongo abelii (Sumatran orangutan). RNAcentral describes it as "retained intron". Lineage: Eukaryota; Metazoa; Chordata; Mammalia; Primates; Hominidae. The record is from RNAcentral.